This is a non-coding RNA of Arachis ipaensis, 486 nucleotides long. NCBI's taxonomy places the organism in Eukaryota, Viridiplantae, Streptophyta, Magnoliopsida, Fabales, Fabaceae. The record is from RefSeq and is a predicted model, not a curated record.
ACCAUUUCUAAUAGGCAUUUCAAGUAUUUGGAUUCAGAAGCUCAAUUCCAAUUAUGAGUUAAAUUCUAAACACCAAAUAGGGUUUGAGCCAAAAUAAAUUAAGACAUUAGAAAUCUGUUUCCAAGCGGAAAGAAUGAGUUGAGUUCUGGCUCUAUACUUUUGUUUAUCUAGGGAGUUGUGUUUUGCUCUACAAAGUUGUUCUUAAUGGUGGUCUUUUAUAAGUAGUUAGAGUUAUUCAUUUUUUAUGUAAUGCAGAUUUUGAUGAAGAUGAUAUUUCAGGCUUCAUUGCUGAUUAUGCUGUUAGCAUUUCAAAUUUAGCGGUUGAAGAUAUCAUCUCAAAAUUCAAGAGUUUGCAUGAUCUAGUGGAAAUUUUACAUUUAUCGUCAUCAUAUGAAAAGCUGAUUAUGUAUUGCUGUGAUUUAGGCAAGGUUGAUGUUGUACUUGAUCUUGUUGAUAAUAUGUGUGAAGCAGGGUUUACAUUGUCAA